Molecule: ribosomal RNA, 161 nt
Filed under: Phylloporus sp. NC-7285/1
Lineage: Eukaryota; Fungi; Basidiomycota; Agaricomycetes; Boletales; Boletaceae
Description: 5.8S ribosomal RNA
Rfam family: 5.8S ribosomal RNA
About the family: 5.8S ribosomal RNA (5.8S rRNA) is a component of the large subunit of the eukaryotic ribosome. It is transcribed by RNA polymerase I as part of the 45S precursor that also contains 18S and 28S rRNA. Functionally, it is thought that 5.8S rRNA may be involved in ribosome translocation.
Source: RNAcentral
UACAACUUUCAGCAACGGAUCUCUUGGCUCUCGCAUCGAUGAAGAACGCAGCGAAUUGCGAUAAGUAAUGUGAAUUGCAGAUUUCCAGUGAAUCAUCGAAUCUUUGAACGCAUCUUGCGCUCCUUGGUAUUCCGAGGAGCAUGCCUGUUUGAGUGUCAUUG